CGCUGGCGGCACGCUUAACACAUGCAAGUCGAACGGAGUUAUUUGGAGCUUGCUCUGAAUAACUUAGUGGCGGACGGGUGAGUAACACGUGAGCAACCUGCCUUUGAGAGUGGAAUAGCUUCUGGAAACGGAUGGUAAUACCGCAUAACAUUACCGGACCGCAUGAUCUGGUAAUCAAAGAUUUAUCGCUCAAAGAUGGGCUCGCGCCUGAUUAGAUAGUUGGUGGGGUAACGGCCUACCAGGUCGACGAUCAGUAGCCGGACUGAGAGGUUGGACGGCCACAUUGGGACUGAGACACGGCCCAGACUCCUACGGGAGGCAGCAGUGGGGAAUAUUGCACAAUGGGCGGAAGCCUGAUGCCAGCGAUGCCGCGUGGAGGAAGAAGGUUUUCGGAUUGUAAACUCCUUAUCUGAGGGACGAUAAUGACGGUACCUCAGGAGAAAGCUCCGGCUAACUACGUGCCAGCAGCCGC
RNAcentral lists this ribosomal RNA (472 nucleotides) under uncultured bacterium. Its description in RNAcentral is "bacterial SSU rRNA". It matches the Rfam family "Bacterial small subunit ribosomal RNA", at positions 34 to 518 of the family's 1533-position model. The record is from RNAcentral.